GGGGAAUUGGCUCAGUGGUAGAGCACUUGCCUAGCAAGUGCAAGGUCCUGGGUUCGGUCCCCAGCUCCA
This 69-nucleotide transfer RNA is filed under the name Rattus norvegicus (Norway rat). It matches the Rfam family "tRNA". From Rfam's summary of the family: Transfer RNA (tRNA) molecules are approximately 80 nucleotides in length. Their secondary structure includes four short double-helical elements and three loops (D, anti-codon, and T loops). The record is from Rfam by way of RNAcentral. Lineage: Eukaryota; Metazoa; Chordata; Mammalia; Rodentia; Muridae.